Molecule: long non-coding RNA, 2952 nt
Filed under: Nicotiana tabacum (common tobacco)
Lineage: Eukaryota; Viridiplantae; Streptophyta; Magnoliopsida; Solanales; Solanaceae
Description: long non-coding RNA (NTAB_LNC015714)
Source: RNAcentral
UCCAAGUAAGUAUGAUUCUCAAUUUAGUUCAGGUAGAAAACACGGUAAAAACAUAUCUCGGGACGGACCAAGUCAUAAUCCCCAACGGUACUCUACCCCACGCCCGUUAUCCGGCGUGCAAGUAACCUCAAUAUAGCGUUACGAUGUGAAAUUUUGGGGUUUCAAACCCUCAGGACAUCAUUUACAUCAAUUACUCACCUCAAGACGGUCAAAGUCUAGCUCGUUAUGCCCUUGCCUCUCAAAUUACCCUCCUCGUGCGACUAAUCUGCCCAAAAUCACAACAAAUAUGUCGCAUUAUGCUAAAGAGACAAUACCCAAUUGAAAGCAAUCGAAAAAUAUCAAAAUUCACGAAUUUGACAAAACCCGAGCCCCGGUUCCACGUCUCGAAAAAUCAGAAAAUUAACAUCACCGGAUUCCUUGUCUCGCCACGAGUCUAUACAUCCCAAGAACUCCCAAAUCCGAGUUCAAAUGACCCAUCAAAUCCUAAUUGUUUGGUUUCAAAAUUCAAGCCCUAGUUCUUGAUUUGUAGGCUUAUAUUUCAUGAAUCUCUAGGUGGAAUUCACAAUAAAAACGAGUUCUAAGUCCAAGAAACUUACCUCAAGUCGUUCCCCCUUGAGUCCCUCUUUAAUCUCCACCAAGAAGCUCUCAAAAUGAUCAACCAUGGAGGAAAAAUGACCCAAAAUCGCGGAUGAAGUGUUUUAUAAACUCACUGCCCAGGAUUUUUCGGAAGUACUGUUCACCCGCGCAGUUACUGUUCAUGCUGCUAAAAAAAAUACAGCAACAGCCAAAGAAAUUGCAGCACUUUUCUUUUUACUAAAAUGGCUCUAACUCCAUCAUACGAACUCGGAAUUUGAUGAUUAUUGUUCCUAUGAGUCACAAAUAAUGAUACAAACAUAGUCCUUCAAUCGAAACUCAAUUUGGAGCUCGUUUGCUCAGUGCGAUAUCCAUUUCGCUCGUUAAACAAUUAACUCAUGUUUCGUGUCAAAAACCCAAUCGCAACUUGAUGAAAUUAGACCAAACUUUCCAGAUCACUCCUAUAAUUCAUUAUUUAAAUUCUGGAAAUCUCAAAAUAAAAUUUUGAUCUCUAGAACUAAAAAUGGACUUUUGGAUCAUUACAGCUUAUGCUCAAACGACAAAAAUCUUCCAAAAACUCUUCCAAAACUUAUCCGAGCCUCAUGGGACCCCGACCAAACAUGCCAAAAUAAUUCAUAACAUUAUUAAAACCUCUUCCAAUCAUUAAAAUACCUCAAACAAUAUCAAAUUACCCAAAACUCAUCGAAUUCAAGCCUAAUUUUCUAAAAACUUCCGAAAUACACUUUCGAUCAAAAACCCGACCAAACUACGUCCGAAUGACCUGAAAUUUCGUACACAUAUCCCAAAUCACCUAACGAAGCUACAACAACUCUCGGAAUUCCAUUCCGACUCUCGAAUCAAAAUCUCACCUAUCAACCGGAAUUCGCCAAAAUACUAACUUCGCCAAUUCAAGCCUAAUUCUAUACCGGACCUCCAAAAUUACUUCUGAUUACACUCCUAAGUCACAAAUCAUCCCCGAAGCUAACCGAAUCAUCCGGAUUCAAAUCCGAGCCCUCUAACACAUAAGUCAAUGUCCGGUUGACUUUUCCAAAACAAACCUUCCUUAAAGAGACUAAGUGUCUCAUUUCCUACUAAAACCAAUCCAAAUCAACUCGUUCACACCCAACACUGAUAAUGAAGCAUAAAGAAAUAGAAAAUGGGAAAAACGGGGCGGUAACUCAUGAGGCGACGGGUCGGGUCAUCACAAUUUGGUUCUUCGCAGAUACUUAAAAUGCAAAAAUGCAAUCAAGACUGGAGCACAUAAUAACGGCUUAUAGAACUUGAAAAGAAAAAUCUAAAAGAACAUUACGUGGAACCAUCACAUUGUCACUCUUACUCCAAGAAAAGCAGAAGAGGUUUAGCACUUGAAGCCACAACUUAUGCCCAUGUUGGUCAAACUAACAAUUUUCUUUUCAAAGGUAUCCAACUGAAUGAAUGAACUCUGGUAUCCAAAGAUAAAAAAAAACCAAGAUUUUUCUAAGAUGACCUAUAUCAUCUUCCAAGCAGUAGCUAUGAUAUAAUUUAGCCCCACGAAAAUGAGAACAAAACCAUGAUACUCCUUCGAACAACAGAGAUAAAACUAAAUCACAAAUACUUAAAAGAUAGAGAAGACAAAAAUAUGCAUAACAAAUUUAAUAGAAAUGGUAAUUCAUUGAAGAAUUUAUUCAAACACCUAGAGAAGAGAAGACAUUGGUAGUAAUUUUAUACCUUUAAAAGCCACCACUAACUAUUGGCACGUCUAAUUGCCAAAAUAAAAGCUAAGUAAACUAAUACUGAAAAAUAACUUGGAAAGCUCUGCUAAAAGGGGAAAAUGGCAUAUCAAAAGAUACAAUCUAAGUCUAAGUAACUAAAGCUGAAACAUAUCUUGGGAAACUUAGCAAAAAGGAAAAGAUAAAAAAACGCAUAUGUAAAGACAUAAUCUUUAGAUGGAUUAAAUCAAGAAUUCAAGAAAUGAUCAAAAACAUUAACUAAACAUGGAUGAUUACUGUAAUUGAAUCUAUUAAUUUUAGAAAACAAAAAAGAAUCAGAAUACUAUAAAUUAACAAUGGAUUAGCUGAUUUACAAAAAACUUUUGACUCUUACAUGAGAAUCACUGUAUAUUUUUUUUGAUUUGGUAACCUUGGCCAAGAUCAUAGUAAUACUCAAAAUACCAUCCAUAGAAGAAAAUCAUCCUAUAUAAUAAUUACCUUCAAAUAAGUAGAAAAUUCGAAAAAGAACUUCUCAAGCAGCAGUCGCUAUAACCCCUGAUUAGCAAACGCUGUGUUCUUCAGAGAAACUCAACAGGAAAACUAAACAAAAUAGGAAAAGAAGAUCGUUCAACGGAGCAGACACAACAACUUAAGUUCGAAGUUCCCCGAGAAAAAGCUAAGGUAAUCCAAA